GUAACAAGGUUUCCGUAGGUGAACCUGCGGAAGGAUCAUUAACGUUGGGGACUAACAAUCCCUCAGCGAGAUAGAACCCUUGCCUUUUCGAGUACCACACGUUUCCUCGGCAGGUACGCCUGCCAAUGGGGACCACAACAAAACCUUUUGUAAUAGCAGUAAACGUCUUAAAAACAAAACUUUUAAAACUUUCAACAACGGAUCUCUUGGUUCUGGCAUCGAUGAAGAACG
RNAcentral lists this unclassified non-coding RNA (231 nucleotides) under uncultured Ascomycota. RNAcentral's name for it is "partial contains 18S rRNA, ITS1, 5.8S rRNA, ITS2 and 28S rRNA". The stretch from base 1 to 41 matches the Rfam family "Eukaryotic small subunit ribosomal RNA", at positions 1791 to 1831 of the family's 1831-position model. Lineage: Eukaryota; Fungi; Ascomycota. The record is from RNAcentral.